RNAcentral lists this ribosomal RNA (478 nucleotides) under uncultured bacterium. RNAcentral describes it as "partial 16S ribosomal RNA". It matches the Rfam family "Bacterial small subunit ribosomal RNA", at positions 29 to 507 of the family's 1533-position model. The record is from RNAcentral.
AUGAACGCUAGCGGGAGGCCUAACCCAUGCCAGCCGCGCGGUAGAGUUUCUUCGGAAACUUGAGAGCGGCGCACGGGUGCGUAACACGUGUGCAACCUACCUUUAUCUGGGGGAUAGCCUUUCGAAAGGAAGAUUAAUACCCCAUAAUAUAAUGAUUGGCAUCAAUUAUUAUUGAAAACUCCGGUGGAUAGAGAUGGGCACGCGCAAGAUUAGAUAGUUGGUGAGGUAACGGCUCACCAAGUCAAUGAUCUUUAGGGGUCCUGAGAGGGAGAUCCCCCACACUGGUACUGAGACACGGACCAGACUCCUACGGGAGGCAGCAGUGAGGAAUAUUGGACAAUGGGUGAGAGCCUGAUCCAGCCAUCCCGCGUGAAGGAUGACGGUCCUAUGGAUUGUAAACUUCUUUUGUACAGGGAUAAACCUACCCUCGUGAGGGUAGCUGAAGGUACUGUACGAAUAAGCACCGGCUAACUCCGUG